AUCCCUAUUUUCCCUUUAUUUCCUCAUAAUUCUCUUGUCUCAUGUGUGCCGUGCCCAUCCCUUCUUCCCCUUGCCGCCGCUAAUGUCACCUGGCCCGGCUGUGCCGCAGCUGAAAUUGUUCUGGACAUGGUAACCAUGUCCACUUCCCUUCUUUCCCGAUGCAAUUUCGCCUCACUCUACCGUCAAGUUACCCUAAAAUCAUGCACAGAGUGAGGCCCGCUACUGGGAUAUCUUGAUCUCAUUUUCUUGUUGCAUACACGACUACCUAUCCUAUCAACGCUGCCAAUCCCAUCCUGUCUGUGCCUUGGCGCUUGUUGUCCUUAAUCUCUCCCUUUCGCAAUCGGUCGGCAAACCCGAUGUUUCUCACCUGUGGUGCACGCCGGUGAUGGGCGGCCUCCACUCAUUGAGAUGGUACACCAAUGAAAAAAAUGCCUCUGCAUGGCAGAAACAGUAUCUGCCUUGCUGCGCCGCAGACCAUUACAUGUCAGGCCCUGGCCAGAGCACAAGGUCUGGAAGGUCUGGUUGGUUGCAAGGGUGACAUGUCCAGACAGAAAAAAAUCUCCCCGACGAUUCAAGCCUCUCGGUGUGGCCGAUGCAUGACGUGGACAUGAUCCGAACUGCUCCAGUGCAGGUGAAUUCUCGGUCACGCUAUGUUCCCUCUUGACCAGCAGCAAGAUACCGAGUCGACAGAGAUGGAUGUCCACUGGAAAAGGGGCUUCGGCCUCAACCGCCUGGGGGCUCAAACCUAGCCAGCGCGAAUUGUUCGAGGAUGCCCUGUUCAAGCCACCACUUGGUGAGCCUGUGAAGCCCUUCUUUGGUGUUUAGCAGCCAUCUGUUGUCAAUCUUCCCCUCAUGCUCCAGCUCCCUGCGCCUGGAAUUGAAUCGUGUGAAGUGCGCCAUUACAUGAGUCACUGUCUCCUGCUCAUAGCCACAUGCACAUUCUGGUGUAGGGAACUCUGGCACCCGCCUUUUGUGCAGAAAGGCCGCCAAUCCUGUUUUGCCUGUUCUUAGCUGUACUACGAGCGAACUGCGUGCUUUGCUUAGGCCCUCAUGCCACCUUAGUCUUGUCCGGGGCCUGCCAAACAGCUCCCCCCAUGGUGUUCUUCGUGAUUGCCAUUUAGUACGCCAGCGGUGCAACAGCUCCUCUUGCACCCAUAUCUUGAAGGUCCAAUCUCCGCUCCUGUUCAUAUGCUCUCUGCCAACCUUUGCUCUUCUUGUCUCCCACUGUGCAUUCCAUGCCUGCUGCAUGCAUGCUGGGUGCAACACAGCUUCAAUAGUGUUGUUGACCCUCCCAUUCCUGCGCCUGAGCCUAGUUCUCACCACUGCACAUGCCUAUUCAAUUGUCUCACCAUACCUGAUUCUUUGAGCCGCUCUGAUGCCUUCGCCACUAAGCUGUCCAGGUAUAUCCUAAGGGGCGGUGUGUACGUUUCUACCUCCAGUGAUGUGAUCGGCGUGGCUCUGUAGGCCCCUACGAUUGUUCGAAGACACUCGUUCGUGUCUUUUCCAGGCCUGCCAGAAGCUGCUUCUGACACCUUGGCCCCUGCAAUGUCGUGUGUGGAAAGUGCCAUGCCAGCGCUCCAUGUGAGGGUGCUGGCCUGAUCACUGCAUUGUAGACUUUUCUCGCCCGCUGCAAGGGCAGGCCCCAAGUUUGACGGCAUUGGUAGCCUCGUGCCCUGGCCUUUUACCUCCUCCAACUGAUACUUCUGACCUGGUCGUCUAUCUUAUUUCGCCAUGUAAAUUGAGGCAGCGAGCAGGGCAGCCCCCUAAUAAUAAUAGGACAUGUGUCAUGACAAUGGCGGGGGCUUUUGUCCAGUUAGGGGACUCGUUCAAGCUGACUGUUCGACAAGCGUAUUCUGUUCCCUCAACUGCAUCUCAAACCAUCAGCAAAAGCAAGCGUCGGACAGGGCCAGAAUGCAUACACAUACAAAUUCGCAACGAGUAACGAGAUGAAUAACCACGUUAUUUUCCGCAGUAAUCGAACAAGCUGGGCCAGAGAAGGCAAGGAGAAGAGAGCAGUGAAGGUGGUGGCCGCUGGGAAGAACGUAUCAUAUUGAAACUUGCGGUUCGCAAUCAUCGUGUCAGAGACACAAGUAUGUCAUAGUUAAGUUUUAUUAAAAAGAGAAUGUAUGUGAGCAUUACAUAGUAAAAGAACGAACAAGAACAGUUUUACGAUGUUAAAAAAAAAAUAAAAAUAAAAACUUUUUGCUGCAACUGUGAGCGAGUGGGUGCAGAAUUGGCAGAAGUUUGCAGAAUAGAUCACAAAGGUGAGGAACGGUGCCCUGGAAACUGGAAGACUUUCUACAUAUAUAUUGGGCCCCAGAAGCCUGAUUCGAGCCGCAGGCCCUGCUACCAUAUCAUUUUGAUACACAUGCAUUAAGCCUGGCCCUGCGCUUUACAACGCUUGAAGAAGUCGAGGGGGGCAUGGACACCAGCUGUCGCAACCAGUGGCCGCCAAUAUUUCCGUCGGGGACCUUAAAGUUCCAGGUCGCACUGAGGCUAUUGUUUCUCAUUCAUUUUCUCGAUCCCGUGAUCAGCAACUUCUUUCGCGCCAUAUGGGGAUCCAAAAUGCCAGUUAAGCCGGUGAAUCAGACAUAAACUUGUGUUGCUGGCUAUCCUCAAUCCUCGACAAAGGCCAAGAACAGCUUACGAUCAUGAGCCGAGAAUUUUAGCUAGUGCGGCACGAGUUUUGGGAGAAUCACUCUCAAAAGUCGCGGGGCCGUCUGCAUAGGACCCUGCUGAAGAAUGUUGGCCUAGAUUUUUCAUUUCGAUCUCAUAUCCAUUAUAGUAACUGCCCCAUAUAUCCACUAGCAUACUAUACAUCUGUUGGGCAGUGGCUGCAUGCUUUGGGAAAUUUCUUGGGAAUUGCCAUGGCCGGUACGAUUUUCCAUGUGUCCCGCGAGUCAUGAAGCGUGUUCCAUGAAUGCGAUUAUAUGCCUCGAUAAAAAGAUGACAGCCGUGGCACGAAAGUUUACUGACCCCAAGGUAAGAGUAUGCUUUGGCAAGGGAUGGGUUUUCCGAUUCCGAUGCUGCGAUAAGCAGGAGAAGCUUAAUCUCGCAGUGGGUUACCAGUUUUUUACUUAUCUGUUCCCGGCACAUAUACGCAGUAUCCUGUGUAACAGUUGAUAUCUUUAGUAGCUUUUUCUCGGCCGUAUGACGGGUUUGGGUUUCUUUGUGUAGUUUGUUUCGCAGUGACAAUGCUCUUUCGAGAACGUCUUCCCAGUCCUUGGCAUUUUGCGGUACCGUGUCAGUUUUUGAUAGGGUUGCUGGAACAGUGUGGAUGUCGAAUCGGUAGUGGAAAAGAUGACGGCAUUGGGGGGACCAUGAGACCUUUAAAAUGUCAUCCACUUCAUUCAUAGCAAUAGCAACUUUCCUGAAAUAGGGUUCCCAAU
Molecule: small RNA, 3389 nt
Filed under: Histoplasma capsulatum var. duboisii H88
Lineage: Eukaryota; Fungi; Ascomycota; Eurotiomycetes; Onygenales; Ajellomycetaceae
Description: Histoplasma capsulatum H88 hypothetical RNA
Source: RNAcentral